Molecule: transfer RNA, 76 nt
Filed under: Moraxellaceae bacterium
Lineage: Bacteria; Pseudomonadati; Pseudomonadota; Gammaproteobacteria; Moraxellales; Moraxellaceae
Description: tRNA-Gln
Rfam family: tRNA
About the family: Transfer RNA (tRNA) molecules are approximately 80 nucleotides in length.
Source: RNAcentral
UGGGGUGUCGCCAAGUUGGUAAGGCAAUAGAUUUUGAUUCUAUCAUUCGGAGGUUCAAGUCCUCCCACCCCAUCCA